This 24-nucleotide small nuclear RNA is filed under the name Arabidopsis thaliana (thale cress). Its description in RNAcentral is "snRNA_03077". Lineage: Eukaryota; Viridiplantae; Streptophyta; Magnoliopsida; Brassicales; Brassicaceae. The record is from RNAcentral.
GUCAGAUGACUAUUACGUGAAAAA